RNAcentral lists this long non-coding RNA (1215 nucleotides) under Lynx pardinus (Iberian lynx). Lineage: Eukaryota; Metazoa; Chordata; Mammalia; Carnivora; Felidae. The record is from RNAcentral.
GGACUCCAGUCCUGCCCCAGGCUCCCUCUGUGACCUCAGGCAAACCUCUCCCUUUUCUGAGGCAGAGGCAGCUCUGAGGGGGCGUGAGAAUAAGCUGUCCUCGGCCCCAAGGCCUCCAGGGUAGGGGGUUCAGUCCCUUGCUGGUACCUGGGGGCAGUGUGGAGGAGGGGGGAGGAUCCUGGGAAGGACCAGUCGGGCAGUACAGAGCCAGUGGGCUUGUGUUCAAAGUGAGCUCUGCUGUGUGACCCUGGGCGAGUCAUUUCCCUUCUCUGAGCCUCAGUUUCCUGACCCGUAAAGUGGGGCAGUGAUUACAGACCUGUGAGGACCCCUGUCGAGAUCAGGGUCGGGCCUGUUGAGGAGCAGCGCCUGCCCUCGGGGCCCAAGUCCUGAGUGGAGCCCCAAAGCGCGGAAGGGGCCCUGCUGAGAAUCUGGCGCUUGUGAAGAGCCUGGCCAAAGGACUGGCCCCUCCAUCUGUCCCCCCAGCAGGCUGUGAGCGGCCACUCGGUGGAAGUGUCCCCACCCACGCCUUUCUGGUUUAACUGGAAAACAAGGCCCCGUCCCACCUCCCAUCAGGAUGUGUUUGAUGGGAGGGAGCUGGCGGGUUUGUGGGCACGGGACACAAGGCCCCAACGGGCCAGGCUCCCCCUCGUCUGGGCCCUCCAGGCUUAGCGAUCCACCUGCCCGGGCUGGGGGCGGGGGGCGGGGGGUGGGGGGUGGGAGGUGCAGGCACCUCCUGGUAACAAGCAGGCCUCGGGGGAGGGAGGGAGAGGUCUGGACGAAAGAGAGGACAGCUUCGAGAGGCCAGCCAGGCCCCUUCUGGGCAUUUUGUCCAAGCAGGUCCAGCCUGAGCAAGGGUGGGCUAGACCGUGCUGGGAAUCUGUGAAGCCUGGCUUUGCUUACCCCCAGGUGAUGGGAAGCUCAUUCCUUCUAACUCCCCACGAGUGGCUCUGGCUUCCCGGGGCUUCCUCUUGGAAGCCGGUGACUGGUGUCAGGGCUGUUACUUCCUGACCCGAGACAGCCCUCGAGAGCGUGGGAAUAGGGUGAGCCUCAGCCCCACCCACGAGUUGGGGGUCAGAUGGGAUCCCCGUGACCUCCUCGAAGCACCCCCCGCCCCCCAACUUCCCACCGGCCUGCAGCCUUCCUGCCUCUGGCCCUUUAAGGCCUGGGCAGGAAGCCCCUCCCCAUUUAGGGCAAUAAAUGGACACAUAAAAUGGC